CGGGGGGCAGCAGUGGGGAAUAUUGCACAAUGGGCGCAAGCCUGAUGCAGCGACGCCGCGUGGGGGAUGACGGCCUUCGGGUUGUAAACCUCUUUCAGCUCUGACGAAGCGCAAGUGACGGUAGGAGCAGAAGAAGGACCGGCCAACUACGUGCCAGCAGCCGCGGUAAUACGUAGGGUCCGAGCGUUGUCCGGAAUUACUGGGCGUAAAGAGCUCGUAGGUGGUUUGUCGCGUUGUUCGUGAAAUCUCACAACUCAAUUGUGAGCGUGCGGGCGAUACGGGCAGACUGGAGUACUGCAGGGGAGACUGGAAUUCCUGGUGUAGCGGUGGAAUGCGCAGAUAUCAGGAGGAACACCGGUGGCGAAGGCGGGUCUCUGGGCAGUAACUGACGCUGAGGAGCGAAAGCGUGGGGAGCAAACAGGAUUAGAUACCCGAGU
RNAcentral lists this ribosomal RNA (437 nucleotides) under uncultured Mycobacterium sp. RNAcentral's name for it is "bacterial SSU rRNA". It matches the Rfam family "Bacterial small subunit ribosomal RNA", at positions 342 to 791 of the family's 1533-position model. Lineage: Bacteria; Bacillati; Actinomycetota; Actinomycetes; Mycobacteriales; Mycobacteriaceae. The record is from RNAcentral.